Molecule: long non-coding RNA, 310 nt
Filed under: Linum usitatissimum (flax)
Lineage: Eukaryota; Viridiplantae; Streptophyta; Magnoliopsida; Malpighiales; Linaceae
Description: long non-coding RNA (LUSI_LNC001519)
Source: RNAcentral
AAAGAGGAUCUUACUACUUCUCGUCGCACCGAUGACCUUGACUAUUGAAUCGGUACUCUUUUCCAAAACGAUGGGAGGAAAGAAGAACUAUAUAUAUAGCCAGGAAGAGUUUGAUAUUUGCCAUAUAUGUUCGUCUCUUGUCUUAAUAUUUUUUUUUUUGUAUUUUUAUGUGUUCGUUUCUCAUGUUGUAAUAUGUUGUUUAACUGCUUGUCAUUGUAGAGGUAACAAAAUUUUGCUGGGAACAUUUAUAUUCUUAGGUUGACUGUUGACGGAAAGUUUGUUCAAAACAUUAAAAGCAAGUGGGGUACAA